This is a long non-coding RNA of Beta vulgaris subsp. vulgaris (sugar beet), 511 nucleotides long. RefSeq lists it as uncharacterized. The record is from RefSeq and is a predicted model, not a curated record. Lineage: Eukaryota; Viridiplantae; Streptophyta; Magnoliopsida; Caryophyllales; Amaranthaceae. The transcript is spliced from 2 exons.
UUCUCAACUUUAGGUUAGCAUUCAACAGUCAACACGCCGCUUUCUUUUUUUCCAUUUCAAAAAGACUGAAGAACUUUCAUCUCUCUCUCUCUCUUAAUCUCUUCGUUCUUCUCUCAAAAAAUCAGAAAAAAUAAAAUAAAAUCGAAAAAUCAAAUAAAAUUAAGAGAAGAUUGUACAACAAACUUUAAGCACAUAUGGAUCCUCAGCUUGAGAACUUGUGUGGGAGUGUGAUGAAUCUAAAGGUGGACAAUAUGAAGGAUGAUACACCAAUCGCGAGUCCGGCAAUGAGCUCCGAUUUUAAUGGAAGUAGUUCUAAGAAAUGAGAAAACUUUGAACUUUGGUCUUGAUGUGAACUGUGAACUUUGUUUUUGGUUGUGAUUUGUGAACUUUGAACUUUAAUUUAAUUUGUGGUUUGUAAACAUUAAUAUGGGAUGCAUUUGAAUUUACAUUUUGGAUGUCAACAUGAACACCACACUUUGUAACUUCAUGGUUUGACACUUGACAGCUUGCA